AAGGUUCAAAUGGUAAAUAUCAUCAAAUCAAACCCUACCCUAGGUGGACACUCUGAAGAAAGUCCGAGUGAUGGACACUAAGGAGCAGCCAUCCUGUAUUAAAAUCGACGCUUGGCGUUCUUCACGAUGAAAUCGAAGCAGCAAUAAAAAACGAACCGUUGGGAUCUAAAUUAGCUACUUCAGUAUUUCAUUUCAGCCGCUGUCGAUUGGUUCUCUUCAUUUUCUCUUCCGAUAUUGAGAUCGAGAAAUCUAUCGACUCUUAUCCUCAGCUCUGAUGAUGUUGGUGGAUGGAUUAACCGAUACUGGGAAGAUCCAUCUUUGGCGGUGACAACAGGAACUCUCUGUUUCUUCUUUAUCUAACCAGGUGAUCGUAGGGUUUUGAAUACGCAGUCGGAGGGGAGUGAUGGAAAAUGGGGUUGCAAUCGAUGUUGAACCUCAUUUUGUAGAUAUCGUGGCAGUCGAAGAUGGGACUUCUCAUCCUAAAGUAGAAGAUAAGGGUGUUCAUGGGUUUCAUGUGUCGAAGGAUUCUGAAGGGGAUAUUUUUGUGGAGGCUUCAGAAGAAAUUCAUACGCAGGAGUCGUCUGUAAAGCUUGAUGCAGAGCAAGUUAUUAAUGGGGAGGUACCUGUAGACAAGACAGGAGAUUCUGUUUCAUUGGGAGUUAAUGGAAUGUCUAACGUUGACCAUGGGACUGAAAAAUUUGAAGAGGCGAUCAAGCGUCCGGGCAAUGAACUUAACGAAACUGUUUAUGGGGUUGGAGGUGCAGAUGAACCUGCCAAUGUGGAAGAUAAGGCUGAGGAGCUUGUCCCAGUGGAAUCAAAUGGGUUGGAUGAUGCUGGUUCAGUUGGUACUGCAGAAACUGUUGUCAAUCUUGGUGAUGAUCGAGGCAAUGAACCUAAUGAAACUUUUUACGAGGUUGGAGUUGCAGAUGGACCUGCCAAUGUAAAAGAUAAGGCCGAGGAAGUUGUGCCAGUGGAAUCAAAUGGGUUGGAUGAUGCUAGUUCAGUUGGUAUUGCAGAAGCUGUUGUCAAUCUUGGUAAUGAUUACACUCAGGAACGGGAACAGCAGGUCACUGUUGAGAAGAUGACCGAAGAUUCGGUUUCCACGAAGCCGGUUGAUGAUAUUAGGCUUGCAGAUGAAACUGGCAAUGUGGAAUGUAAUGGCACCGAAGUUGUGCUGGUGCAAUCAAAUGGGUUUGAUGGUGGUGCUUUGGUUGGCAAUUCAGAAGUUGAGUUGAGGGAGUUUUCAGACAUUGUGUCUGAUAGAGAUAUAGAGCCUUCGAUGAAUAGUGCACUGGCAGAGGGGAGGAGUGAUGCAGUUCCUGAAAAAUCAGAAAAUGGGGAUUUGGUUAAGAAUAAUUUGGGGGAAUCACCAUUUCAUGAUAAAGCAGAUGUGCAUGCUGAACUGGUAAAGUCUGAUGUGAUUGAGCCUUCUCAAGAAAAUGAAUGUGAUGAACUAAUUGUCCAUGAAGACAGUGAGAGUCUUGAGUUAAAGGAACCUUUGCCAAACCUGGAUGGGGAACACCAAGAUCACCAGAGCGUGCAAUUGCAGAAUUCUUCAUCUGAAAAAGAUCAUUCCCUCAAGGAAUCUGAUGUGAUUGAGCCUUCUCAAGGAAAUGAACCUGAUGAACUGAUUGUCCACCAAGCCAGUGAGAAUGCGGAGUUAAAGGGACAUUCGGCAAACCUGGAUGGGGAACACCAAGAUCACCAGAGCGUGCAAUUGAAGAAUUCUUCAUCUGAGAAAGAUUGUUCCGUCAAUGAAUCUGAUGUGAUCGAGCCUUCUCAAGGAAAUGAACCUGAUGAACUGAUUGUCCAUCAAGCUAGUGAGAGUGCGGAGUUAAAGGGACCUUCGGCAAACCUGGAUGGGGAACACCAACAUCACCAGAGCGUGCAAUUGAAGAAUUCUUCAUCUGAGAAAGAUUGUUUUGUCAAUGAAUCUGAUGUGAUCGAGCCUUCUCAAGGAAAUGAACCUGAUGAACUGAUUGUCCAUCAAGCUAGUGAGAGUGCGGAGUUAAAGGGACCUUCGGCAAACCUGGAUGGGGAACACCAACAUCACCAGAGCGUGCAAUUGAAGAAUUCUUCAUCUGAGAAAGAUUGUUUUGUCAAUGAAUCUGAUGUGAUCGAGCCUUCUCAAGGAAAUGAACCUGAUGAACUGAUUGUCCAUCAAGCUAGUGAGAGUGCGGAGUUAAAGGGACCUUCGGCAAACCUGGAUGGGGAACACCAAGUUCACCUGAGCUUGCAAUUGAAGAAUUCUUCAUAUGAAAAAGAUCGUUCCCUCAAGGAAUCUGAUGUGAUUGAGCCUUCUCAAGGAAAUGAACAUCAUGAACCGAUUGUCCAUCAAACCACUGAGAAUAUGGCGUUAAAUGGAACUUUGGCAAACCUGGAUGGGGAACACCAAGAUCACAAGAGCAUGCAAUUGAAGAAUUCUUCAUCUGAACAUGGUCCUUCCCUUAAGGAGUCUGAUGUGAUUGAGCCCUCUCAAGGAAAUGAACCUAUUGAACUGAUUGUCCAUCAAUACAGUGAGAAUGCUAAGUUAAAAGAACCUUCAGAAAACCUGGAUGGGGAGCUCCAAGAUCACCAGAAUGUGCCACUGAAGAAUUCUUCAGCUGAACAAGAUCCUUCCCUCAAGGAGGCUGGGACUCCAGAAGUUGAAUUCCCACUGUCUGCAGAAGAAUCUGAUACAGUUAAAGAUGAUGCAGCUGAACCACAGGCUAAAGAUACACAAGAUUCACGGCCUAUGCUUGCUGACAGAAAUGGCAGAGAAGGUUCAUCUAGCCAUGUCAAGGUGGGGGAGCCUGAUGUGCAGGAAACACAAAAAGUGAAGGAUAGAGGAUCAACAAUUCAGUCUGCACAAAAUGUUUUUUCAUCAUCUGAAAAUUCCACAAAUCCUCCUCUUGCUCUUCCAUCUCGUCCUGCUGGUCUUGGGAGUGCUCCACCUCUGGGAGCUGCUCAUCGUGCACUGCAACAGCCUCGAGCAAAUGGAUCUAUACCUCAGCGGCCAACUCAACUUGUUGAAGACCCUAUGAAUGGUGAGGCUGAGGAGAAUGAUGAUGAAGCCCGUGAAAAGCUCCAGAUGAUCCGAGUAAAGUUCCUGCGUCUUGCCCACAGGCUUGGUCAGACUCCCCAUAAUGUUGUUGUUGCUCAGGUCCUGUACAGGCUAGGGUUAGCAGAACAGCUGCAAGGGGGAAACACAACUCGUGCUGGUGCCUUUAGCUUUGAUAGGGCAAGUGCAAUGGCAGAGCAGCUUGAGGCAGCUGGGCAGGAACCCCUUGAUUUUUCUUGCACAAUCAUGGUUAUAGGGAAGACAGGAGUUGGUAAAAGUGCAACCAUCAAUUCAAUAUUUGAUGAAGUCAAGUUCAGCACUGAUGCAUUCAACGUGGGCACUAAGAAGGUUCAGGAUGUGGUGGGAACCGUUCAGGGGAUCAAGGUACGGGUGAUUGAUACACCUGGCCUCCUACCUUCCAUGUCAGAUCAACGUCAUAACGAGAAGAUCCUUCAUUCUGUUAAGCGUUUCAUCAAAAAAACACCUCCAGAUAUUAUUUUGUAUCUUGAUAGACUAGACAUGCAAAGCAGAGAUUUUGGUGAUAUGCCAUUGCUGCGAACAAUUACAGAGAUAUUCGGACCAUCUAUUUGGUUCAAUGCGAUUGUAGUUCUGACUCAUGCAGCUUCUGCACCUCCUGAGGGUCCAAAUGGCACUGCUUCCAGUUAUGAGAUGUUUGUAACUCAGCGGUCCCAUGUGGUUCAGCAAGCCAUUCGUCAAGCAGCAGGGGACAUGCGACUCAUGAACCCUGUUUCACUAGUGGAGAAUCACUCUGCAUGCAGAACAAACAGGGCCGGGCAGAGAGUCUUGCCAAAUGGCCAAGUCUGGAAGCCUCAUUUGUUAUUGCUCUCCUUUGCAUCAAAGAUUCUGGCCGAGGCAAACACUCUUCUGAAGCUGCAAGAUGGUCCACCAGGAAAACCUUUUGCGACUCGAUCUAGGGCACCUCCUUUACCAUUUCUCUUGUCCUCUCUUCUCCAAUCAAGGCCUCAGUUGAAACUGCCUGAGGAACAGUUUGGCAGUGAUGACGACGCUUUUGAUGAGGACUUGGACGAGGCAUCAGAUUCAGAUGAAGACUCAGAAUAUGAUGAAUUGCCUCCAUUCAAGCGUUUGACCAAGGCUCAACUGGCAAAGUUGAGUAAGGCACAGAAGAAGGCUUAUUUUGAUGAGCUAGAAUAUAGAGAGAAGCUUUUUAUGAAGAAGCAGCUGAAGGACGAGAGAAAGCGGCGUAAAUUAUUGAAAAAAAUGACAGAUUUGGCCAAGGAUUUGCCAAGUGAGUACAGUGAGAGUGCUGAAGAAGAGAGUGGUGGAGCUGCAUCUGUGCCAGUUCCAAUGCCUGAUUUGUCCCUGCCGGCUUCAUUUGAUUCUGACAAUCCCACUCACAGAUACCGCUUUCUGGAUUCUUCAAACCAAUGGCUAGUAAGGCCAGUUCUAGAUACUCAUGGCUGGGAUCAUGAUGUUGGCUAUGAGGGUAUAAAUGUUGAGAGAUUAUUUGUGAUUAAAGAGAAAAUACCCUUGUCCUUUUCUGGUCAGGUUACGAAGGAUAAGAAAGAGGCCAAUGUCCAGAUGGAAUUAGCUGGUUCUGUUAAGCAUGGGGAAGGGAAAGCAACUUCAUUAGGUUUUGACAUGCAGACUGUUGGGAAGGACAUGGCAUAUACCUUACGCAGUGAGACAAGAUUUAGCGACUUCAGGCACAAUAAGAUGGCAGCCGGUCUCUCAGUUACUCACCUGGGUGAUGCCGUAUCUGCAGGAGUGAAGGUUGAAGACAAAUUGAUUGUUAAUAAACGGUUCCGGAUGGUUUUGACUGGGGGUGCAAUGACUGGUCGUGGUGAUGUGGCAUAUGGAGGCAGUUUGGAGGCAACCUUGAGAGAUAAGGACUAUCCUUUGGGUCGUACAUUAACAACUCUUGGUCUAUCUAUUAUGGACUGGCAUGGAGAUCUUGCAAUUGGCUGCAAUGUACAGUCUCAACUACCACUGGGGCGUUCUUCAAAUGUGAUUGCUCGGGCAAAUUUGAAUAACAGGGGAGCUGGGCAAGUUAGUAUUCGUUUGAAUAGUUCAGAACAGCUUCAGAUAGCUCUGAUUGGUCUUAUACCCCUAUUCAGAAAGCUAGUUGGUUAUUCUCAACAACUGCCUUUUGGUCAAUGAGGAGUAUCUUGUUAUAUGAUCAGCAGCUGUGCGGUAAUUAGGAAAUAACCUUCAAAGGGUCCAUAUGAUUUUGGUUGCUAAAAUGGGUAAGGCUGCUCCAUUAUGACCAAGUGGUCAUGAGUUUGAAUCAAGAAACAGCCUCUUCGCGAAGCGUUUGUAAGGCUGCAUACAUUAUGACCCUCCCUAGUCCCCGCAGUGGCAGGAACCUCAUGCACUGGGUAUGCCCUUGUUUUUUUAAUUGACAUCUUGAAUAGCUGCUACACAAAUAGUCUUCAAUAUAGGGACUUUAGUUACCAUCUCAUAUUUGUGUCCUUAUAUUUAUAGGAAAAUGUAUUUUUGACAAUAUAUAUACCAGUUUGAUGAUAUUUUUAGUUAAUUUGAUGUGACUAAUGAAUUAUCUGGGGCCAAGCUGAGGAGGAGUUUAAGGUAGAAGUGGAGUUUACUGUUGGAGUUAGACACCUAGAAUCUAGUUGGAUUGCUCGGGUAUUGUGUGGAGGCUUACAUGUAUGAAAGCUUCAAAUUAUAUUCUGAGCGCAGUUAUCACUUAUCUGAAAUCAAAUAUGGUAAUUUUAUGCUGAUUUUAGAGAAUAAGCUGGGGCUCUGUAUCUGAUUUCCUCUUCAAUGAACUCUUCUAAUGGUUUCACUAUUGAUUCUUUAUCGUUAGGUGUCUGCUGAUGUAGAAAAAGGGAAAAAACAGUAAGAAGAAAAAGAUGAGUUUGGGGGAAUUGUGAAAGAUAUUCCUGAGAAAUUUACGGAACUGCUUAAAUAACCCUGUUUUUAAUGAUCUUGACGGUUGAAGCAGGUUGGUAAUAGUCACGGUUUGGCUAACUUACCACUGAUUCACUUUAGGUUGGGAUGCUAUGAUUUCACUUUGUAUUGUCUGGUGAUGUUUAGUUCAAAAGCAUGGAUUGACCAAGAGAAAAAGAGGCAUUUUCGUAUUGUAUGUGAGAAUGGAACUAGGGAAAGGAAUUGAUUGGGAAGUGCAAAACAGAGCAGAUAAGAAGUAGAGUGAAGGGAAAGGAAUUGAUUGGGAAGUGCAAAACAGAACAGAUAAGAAGUAAAGUGAAGGGAAAGGGAGACGGGGACUUUUUUUUUUUGGGGUGGGGUGAGAGUAGAGUAGCGCAAUGUGCUGUGGGUGGGAACGGGUGUGACAAAUAUGGAGUAGCCGAUUCUUAUCUUCAGUGGGGACUGGAGGUGGAAUCACACCACAUGGAACAAGCUCCAUGCAUCUUUCAAGCAGAAGAGAUGAAGCUGAACUGAAAGUAGUUCCUUAUUUUCUCUCUGCUACAUGUUUUUUUAUUUUUCCAAAUAACUAAGCCGAGCAGGAAUUCUGUUGCAGCACUUGGAUCUGUUUCUAUAAAAACGGAGUCCCACUGAACUUUUGUUUGUCAUGUUGGCCUUUUCACUUCUGCAUGAACAUGUUGUUUAUUUGAUGUUCUAUCUUCUAUGUAGCAUCAUUCAGUCUAAACUUUCAUGUUCUAUGUUGUAUUUGAUGGUGAAUCUCUAAUCUAGAGAAUAUAGAUCAGUGUGUUGGGCCCAUCUCUUGCAAAUGUAUUCAUGGGGAUGAAAGUUCUUGACAGGAUAGAAUUGUGAGAUGUUGCACUUUUUUUUCUCCACAUAUUUGGAUAACAUUCUCAGUUAUGUAAUCCUUUCAAUUUUGGUAUAGAUGUGUUUCAGUUUCUU
Macadamia integrifolia is the source of this 6862-nucleotide RNA transcript. It is a transcript of the gene named translocase of chloroplast 120, chloroplastic-like, with no coding region annotated. The transcript is spliced from 3 exons. Lineage: Eukaryota; Viridiplantae; Streptophyta; Magnoliopsida; Proteales; Proteaceae. The record is from RefSeq and is a predicted model, not a curated record.